RNAcentral lists this ribosomal RNA (279 nucleotides) under Limosilactobacillus ingluviei. RNAcentral's name for it is "Lactobacillus ingluviei partial 16S ribosomal RNA". It matches the Rfam family "Bacterial small subunit ribosomal RNA", at positions 251 to 515 of the family's 1533-position model. Lineage: Bacteria; Bacillati; Bacillota; Bacilli; Lactobacillales; Lactobacillaceae. The record is from RNAcentral.
GGUGGGGUAAUGGCCUACCAACGGCGAUGAUGCACUAGCCGAGUUGAGAGACUGAUCGGCCACAAUGGGACUGAGACACGGCCCAUACUCCUACGGGAGGCAGCAGUACGGAAUCUUCCAGCGAUAUGGGCGCAAGCCUGAUAGAGCAACACCGGCGUGAGUGAAGAAUGGUUUCGGCUCGUAUAGCUCUGUUGUUAUAGCAAGAACACGUAUGAGAGUAACAGUUCAUACGUUGACGGUAUAUAACCAGAGAGUCACUGCUAACUACGUGCCAGCAGC